RNAcentral lists this ribosomal RNA (324 nucleotides) under uncultured bacterium. RNAcentral's name for it is "bacterial SSU rRNA". It matches the Rfam family "Bacterial small subunit ribosomal RNA", at positions 8 to 334 of the family's 1533-position model. The record is from RNAcentral.
AGAGUUUGAUUCUGGCUCAGGAUGAACGCUGGCGGCGUGCCUAAUACAUGCAAGUCGAACGCGAGCACUUGUGCUCGAGUGGCGAACGGGUGAGUAAUACAUAAGUAACCUGCCCUAGACAGGGGGAUAACUAUUGGAAACGAUAGCUAAGACCGCAUAGGUACGGACACUGCAUGGUGACCGUAUUAAAAGUGCCUCAAAGCACUGGUAGAGGAUGGACUUAUGGCGCAUUAGCUGGUUGGCGGGGUAACGGCCCACCAAGGCGACGAUGCGUAGCCGACCUGAGAGGGUGACCGGCCACACUGGGACUGAGACACGGCCCAG